AGGGAGGGCCACACGGUCGCUGGGAACUGGCGGAGAGCCGUGCCCUUCUCGACGUCGAAGACGUGGAUCCGCUGAUCGGCGGAGGCGAGAAUCAGCUCGUCUCGAGGGCCGCGGGUGAUGCCGAUCCAACGAGCCCCCGGAAGAUCUGGCCGCCAGCCGGCGGGCGCGUCGGGCGUGAGCAGGCUUCCGGCGAUCGGAUCGACGACCCACCAGCGCCCCCCGAUCCACUGCGCGCAGUACGGCCCGGCGGAUUGGGGGAGGGGCAGACUGCUCUCGGACGCCUCCCCGCUGGACGAGUCGUAGUGGACGAGCGAUCCGCCACGCGUCAGGUAUCGGACCCGCUUGCUUCCGUCGCCGCCGACUUCCGCCGCGAAGCCGAUCACGUCCGGACCCGGGAAGGGGAGAGGAACCGAGAGCUCCCCGAAGCGAAUCUCCCGCCAGUCGCGGACCAGCCACUCGGGCGAGGCCGAGCCGACCCCUCCGGUGGCGGGGCCAGCUCGAGGGGGCGCCCGGGCACUGGGCUCGAGGAGACCUCCCGCAGCGCAAUCGCCCCUUCGGGACGACCCGGCUCGAGCGAGGCCAGCUCCCGAAGGAUCGCGAAGGCCGCCUGCCGGUGAGCCCAGUCCGUGCGCACCCGGAGGCCCGCUGUGGGGCUGAGCGGGGUCUCGAAGCUCGACGCCAUUCCCCCGAACGCGGACAAGCGCUCGGCCAACCAGCGCUCCCACUGGGUCGGUAACUCGAAGUGCCAGACGAUCUCGUCGGGCCGGGCCGCCUCGAUCCGCUCGAUCAGGUGCGAGGCGAAGUCCGUCUUCGUGGCGUCGAAGACGGCGCCGAUGAGCGGCGGCUCCACGUCGAAGUUCCGGACCAGGGGAUAGAACUCGA
RNAcentral lists this unclassified non-coding RNA (882 nucleotides) under uncultured fungus. Its description in RNAcentral is "sequence contains 18S rRNA gene, ITS1, 5.8S rRNA gene, ITS2, 28S rRNA gene". Lineage: Eukaryota; Fungi. The record is from RNAcentral.